CCUACGGGGUGCAGCAGUGGGGAAUAUUGCACAAUGGGCGCAAGCCUGAUGCAGCCAUGCCGCGUGUAUGAAGAAGGCCUUCGGGUUGUAAAGUACCUUCAGCGGGGAGGAAGGCGAUAAGGUUAGUAACCUUGUCGAUUGACGUUACCCGCAGAAGAAGCACCGGCUAACUCUGCGCCGGCGACCGCGGUAAUACGGAGGGUGCAAGCGUUAAUCGGAAUUACUGGGCGUAAAGCGCACGCAGGCGGUCUGUCAAGUCGGAUGUGAAAUCCCCGGGCUCAACCUGGGAACUGCAUUCGAAACUGGCAGGCUGGAGUCUUGUAGACGGGGGUAGAAUUCCAGGUGUAGCGGUGAAAUGCGUAGAGAUCUGGAGGAAUACCGGUGGCGAAGGCGGCCCCCUGGACAAAGACUGACGCUCACGUCCGAAAGCGUGGGGAGCAAACAGGAUUAGAUACCCCUGUAGUC
Molecule: ribosomal RNA, 465 nt
Filed under: uncultured bacterium
Lineage: Bacteria
Description: bacterial SSU rRNA
Rfam family: Bacterial small subunit ribosomal RNA
Source: RNAcentral